GGGGCCGUAGCUCAGUUGGGAGAGCGCCUGCAUGGCAUGCAGGAGGUCGUCGGUUCAAGUCCGAUCGGCUCCA
RNAcentral lists this transfer RNA (73 nucleotides) under Phycisphaerae bacterium. RNAcentral's name for it is "tRNA-Ala". It matches the Rfam family "tRNA". Rfam says of the family: Transfer RNA (tRNA) molecules are approximately 80 nucleotides in length. Their secondary structure includes four short double-helical elements and three loops (D, anti-codon, and T loops). Further hydrogen bonds mediate the characteristic L-shaped molecular structure. tRNAs have two regions of fundamental functional importance: the anti-codon, which is responsible for specific mRNA codon recognition, and the 3' end, to which the tRNAs corresponding amino acid is attached (by aminoacyl-tRNA synthetases). tRNAs cope with the degeneracy of the genetic code in two manners: having more than one tRNA (with a specific anti-codon) for a particular amino acid; and 'wobble' base-pairing, i.e. permitting non-standard base-pairing at the 3rd anti-codon position. The record is from RNAcentral. Lineage: Bacteria; Pseudomonadati; Planctomycetota; Phycisphaerae. RNAcentral also lists the same sequence under 2 other names.